GUGCUUGCUUUGACAGCACGGCUAUUAAAAUGGGAACAGCACAGAGAAGGCUAACAUGGCCCCUCUGCAAGGAUGACACACAAAUUCAGAGCAUUCCCUUUAA
Small nuclear RNA from Neogale vison (American mink), 103 nucleotides. The record is from Ensembl. Lineage: Eukaryota; Metazoa; Chordata; Mammalia; Carnivora; Mustelidae.